Long non-coding RNA from Ostrea edulis (European flat oyster), 749 nucleotides. RefSeq lists it as uncharacterized. NCBI's taxonomy places the organism in Eukaryota, Metazoa, Mollusca, Bivalvia, Ostreida, Ostreidae. The record is from RefSeq and is a predicted model, not a curated record. The transcript is spliced from 2 exons.
CGUGCAUGGAUAUACCCGUAUCUAGGAGCAAACUGGAAAACGUGGAAGACAUUAUAUUCAUUGUCACACAAUUUUUAACUAAAAAAAUCAAAAUUUUCUGACAAAGAAGCGAUUGAGAAAAAAAAUACUUGAGGGACCAAAUCCUGCACAUUGCAUCAACCUCCUGAAUGGUAUGUUCCCGCCUAUUUCCGAUAAGAGGAUUAUAAAAUCUCAUUACCAAUCACAAAGCCAGCACUUCUAAAAGUCUCGCUACCAUAGCAGGAUGAAAUUAUCAAUGGUCCGGACUCUGACAGCUCUAUCCUUGGCCUUACUGCUGGCGUCGGCUAAUGCCUACCCCUCACUGCUCCUCGGCAGAAGUGCCAAACGAGCUUCAUUCACAUUAGACUCUUUCCAGUCCUCUAAAUGCACGAUGAACGAAGCCGUGAACACGAUAUGUUAUGUUUGUGGACGCACUUAUGACAGUAUGGAAAUUUACAGUCAGUGUUGUGCCGGAAAUGACCCAAAUUUGCAAGCCUUCUGUGAUGGGGUGUUCAACACCUGAUAGCGAUAGACCUUCCAUAGAAGACAGCAUCCUCAGCGAUCUCAUCUGAAAACAUUAAUGAAUCUCCUAGUUUUUAUUUAAAACUGCACGUGCACUCUACGUGGGUUUUUGGUUUAGUUGGAUUUAUGUGCGUCUUAUUUGGACUGAAAUAACUUGCAUAUAUUUUUUUAUAUUUUGUUACAUAAAUAAACAUAUUUUGCAAACCGUC